RNAcentral lists this ribosomal RNA (109 nucleotides) under uncultured Synechococcus sp. RNAcentral's name for it is "partial 23S ribosomal RNA". Lineage: Bacteria; Bacillati; Cyanobacteriota; Cyanophyceae; Synechococcales; Synechococcaceae. The record is from RNAcentral.
GUCGAGCUACAAAAAGGCUCACCGGCGAAUAACAUGGCCAACAAAGGCAUGAAAGAACGAUGUUACUGCAUAGUCUCGGGGGCUGGAGAGAGCUGAUCUGAAGUCCGAA